This is an RNA transcript of Arabidopsis lyrata subsp. lyrata, 1940 nucleotides long. It is a transcript of the gene named transcription initiation factor TFIID subunit 15b, with no coding region annotated. The record is from RefSeq and is a predicted model, not a curated record. The transcript is spliced from 8 exons. Lineage: Eukaryota; Viridiplantae; Streptophyta; Magnoliopsida; Brassicales; Brassicaceae.
UUUUAUUUAACGUCUAAAAAAGGGUCUCACACAAUUCGUUAAGAAGUUUUGGGUCUGUUUUAUCGCAAACCCUAGGUCAUGGCUGGGAUGUACAAUCAAGACGGCGGCGGAGGUGCGCCUAUCCCGUCGUACGGUGGUGAUGGUUACGGCGGAGGUGGAGGUUAUGGAGGUGGUGAUGCUGGAUAUGGAGGGCGUGGUGUCUCUGGCGGUGGCGGUUACGGCGGACGCGGUGGUUAUGGCGGUGGCGGUGGUAGUGGUAGAGGAAAUCGAGGUGGUGGCGGUGGUGGAUAUCAAGGAGGUGAUCGCGGUGGAAGAGGAAGUGGUGGCGGCGGCAGAGAUGGAGAUUGGCGUUGUCCCAACCCUAGUUGUGGGAACGUGAACUUUGCAAGGAGAGUUGAAUGUAACAAGUGUGGUGCACCUGCUCCUUCUGGUACUGGUGCUGGUUCUGGUGCUGGAGAUCGUGGCAGUAGUGGAUAUAGCCGAGGUGGAGGUGCCAGUGAUCGUGGGGGUGGUCGUGGAGGUAGAAACGAUAGUGGUAGGAGCUAUGAGAGUAGUAGAUAUGAUGGUGGAAGUAGGAGUGGUGGUAGCUAUGGUAGUGGUAGUCAACAGAGGGAAAAUGGUUCCUAUGGUCAGGCUCCUCCUCCUGCAGCUAUUCCAUCCUACGAUGGUUCUGGAAGUUAUCCUCCACCCUCUGGUUAUGGAAUGGAAGCUGUGCCCCCGCCUCCAAGCUAUUCUGGUGGCCCCCCGUCAUAUGGUGCUCCAAGAGGAGGUUAUGGCGGUGAUGCACCAAGCACUGGUGGUCGGGGUAGUAGGGGUGGCGGCUAUGAUGGGGGUAGUGCUCCUCGACGGCAGGAAGCUAGUUAUGAAGAUGUAGGCACUGAAGUCAAGCAGUGCGAUGCGGAAUGUGAUGAUACUUGUGAUAAUGCUAGAAUAUACAUCUCUAAUUUACCUCUGGAUGUGACUACUGAUGAACUCAAGGAUCUCUUUGGUGGCAUUGGCCAAGUUGGAAGAAUUAAGCAAAAGCGGGGUUACAAAGAUCAGUGGCCCUAUAAUAUUAAGAUUUACACUGAUGAGAAGGGUAACAAUAAAGGUGACGCCUGUCUGGCCUAUGAAGAUCCUAGCGCUGCACACUCUGCAGGCGGCUUUUUCAACAAUUACGAAAUGAGGGGGAACAAAAUUAGUGUAACGAUGGCAGCGAAGUCUGCGCCCCGUGCUCCUACCUUUGACCAGAGAGGCGGUGGUAGAGGAGGAGGAGGAGGAGGAGGGGGUGGCUAUGGUGGUGGUGGGGGAGACAGAAGAAGAGAUAACUAUGGUUCAGGGCCAGACAGAAACCAUCAUGGGGGAAACCGGUCUCGUCCAUAUUGAGAGAAAGAGAGGAAUCAGUGAAUCAGCUAUUAUGUGUUCUAAGAGUUUUGUGUGUUGAGGGGGGAAUUUUAGUAAAAUGUUCUAUGAGUCAUCAUAUUGGAGAUACAAAAAAAAAAGGAAGCUGACAUUUAACUGCAAAAUGCAUUACAAAUUGGUGCUAUGAUGAUUUCAGAAAUGGCAGGAGUGGGGGAUGGCUAGGCACUCGUCUGAUCAGUUGUUCUGAAGUCUGCAGUGACAUUUCAAAGAUUAACUUGAUUGCCAACAUACUCGCUGAGGCUUUUAGUUAGGUUCUCAUGAGUGGCCUUUUUUUUGGAUAAAAGACAAGGUGAUCAUCGUUCAAUCUAGAUCCCAAAGACUAAAGAGAAUGUGUCUCGUAAAAGUCUAGAUGUGUUUGCGACCAAUGAUUUUUGGUUGUGCCGUUGAGGGUGUUCCCUGUAAUGAAAUUUUAUGUCUUCAUUCAUGUAAAAAAAGAAAAAACCAAGCCAUUUUUGGAUGUUUCCGUGUACAGAAACUUCCAAAUGCAAGUCUAAUACAUCAACAGAAAUGAUUGAUGCCAAAAAUCCCAAAAACAUUUU